UGAAAUUCACUCCACUGUGAACAGAAGGAGGAAUCAAGUACAGGCUGUAUCGAGAAGAGUGUUCUAGAACAAUUUGAGUUUUUCACAACGAUAUCAGAUUAAAAUUGAUGUCCUAACAGCCUUUUGGAAAUUAUGUAGGGAAACAUUCAGCAUUUCAAAUGAUACUUCAAGCCGUCUGCAUUGCUGUCGUAAUGAUCGGAUAUCGUUGUUGAUCCAAGGCUGAGACUUGUUUUGGGGAUAGACAAGCUUUCAAGGUGCAAAAAGGUCCAAAAUGUCAAAGCAUUUGCAAGUAAAAGAUUGCAUCUGCUCAUCAACAUCUAGAUGUGAUGUAACAGAAUCAGAAAUAAGCAGAUUUUCAGUCGCCAAAUACAGUUCAGAGAAGACAUGUUUGGAGUGCGAGGUCAGAAUACGUAAGGUUUUAGGUGGAGCCGGAAGGAGUGUAGAGCAGAGAUCUGUGAUCAGAAAGUGGAACAUCACAGAUGUCAAUGUCAGCUACAGACAGCCCAUAUGUCAAUAUUAAAUCAAGCGGAUGACCGUGAGAGUAUGUAGGACCAUUCAUCCACUGAACAACAUCCAU
Long non-coding RNA from Sinocyclocheilus rhinocerous, 577 nucleotides. RefSeq lists it as uncharacterized. The transcript has 2 exons. The record is from RefSeq and is a predicted model, not a curated record. Lineage: Eukaryota; Metazoa; Chordata; Actinopteri; Cypriniformes; Cyprinidae.